RNAcentral lists this ribosomal RNA (532 nucleotides) under uncultured bacterium. RNAcentral's name for it is "bacterial SSU rRNA". It matches the Rfam family "Bacterial small subunit ribosomal RNA", at positions 838 to 1374 of the family's 1533-position model. The record is from RNAcentral.
CCUUAGUAACGAAGCUAACGCGUGAAGUUGACCGCCUGGGGAGUACGGUCGCAAGAUUAAAACUCAAAGGAAUUGACGGGGACCCGCACAAGCGGUGGAUGAUGUGGAUUAAUUCGAUGCAACGCGAAAAACCUUACCUACCCUUGACAUGUACGGAAUCCUGCUGAGAGGUGGGAGUGCUCGAAAGAGAACCGUAACACAGGUGCUGCAUGGCUGUCGUCAGCUCGUGUCGUGAGAUGUUGGGUUAAGUCCCGCAACGAGCGCAACCCUUGUCCUUAGUUGCUACGCAAGAGCACUCUAGGGAGACUGCCGGUGACAAACCGGAGGAAGGUGGGGAUGACGUCAAGUCCUCAUGGCCCUUAUGGGUAGGGCUUCACACGUCAUACAAUGGUCGGUACAGAGGGCUGCCAAACCGCGAGGUGGAGCUAACCCCAGAAAACCGAUCGUAGUCCGGAUCGCAGUCUGCAACUCGACUGCGUGAAGCUGGAAUCGCUAGUAAUCGCGGAUCAGCAUGUCGCGGUGAAUACGUUCC